RNAcentral lists this long non-coding RNA (784 nucleotides) under Polistes fuscatus (common paper wasp). RNAcentral's name for it is "uncharacterized LOC122513144". The record is from RNAcentral. Lineage: Eukaryota; Metazoa; Arthropoda; Insecta; Hymenoptera; Vespidae.
AUAUAUAAAAUAUAAAAAAUAUAUUCUUUAGGUAUAUCAAUGUUAAAGAGAUUACUGGAUCGUUCUUUGUAUAAACAAAACGAACAAAAUAAUUAUGAUCAGAAUUAUGUAACCAAAUUAAAACGAAAUUAUCGAAGUCACGAGUGUAUAUUACAUGUAUCUAAUCAAGAAUUUUAUGGAAACGAAUUAAUUGCUUGUGGAAAUGCAGAAACUGUUAAUAGAGCAAUUGGAUGGUCAACAUUACCUAACAAAAAUUUUCCUAUAAUAUUUCAUUCGUCCGAUGGUAGAGAUAUAAAAGCAAAAUAUUCGUACAGCAUUUAUAAUCUUGAAGAAAUAUCUAUAAUAAUGAAGUAUUUACAAUUAUUAAUGGGUAAAAAGAUUGGAGGUUUAAAAAUUUAGCAAAAACAUAUAGGCAUUGUAUCUCCGUUUAAACGACAAAAAAUCGAGAUAGUUAAGAGAUUGAAACAGAAAAAUUGGCAGUCUAUAACUGUUGGUACCGUAGAAACGUUUCAGGGAUGUGAAAAAGAAAUCAUUAUUUGGACUACUGUACGAUCUCGUAUAUUAAAGCACGAUGGAAUAGAAAAUAUUGGAUUUUUAUCCGACGAAAAGAGAUUCAAUGUUGCUUUAACUCGAGCAAAGUGUCUUCUUAUCGUAAUAGGCAAUCCAAUUGUUUUAGAGACAGAUAAACAUUGGAAAAUAUUAAUAGAAUAUUGCAGAGAAAAUAAGGCUUUCAUUGAAAGUCCUUCCGUAUUAAAAGAAAAAUCUCGGAGAAAGAGAAAAUACA